UACUCCCGAAGGGGCACAUCUUCAACCUGCCGAAGCAUGUACAGGUCGUUCACAGAGUAUAGGCGAUCGGUCUGGAUCAUGAAGUGGUCUAGGAAGGUCUGCUUCAGACUAUCAAAUGAGUUGAUGGUGCCGGGGUUCAGCCUGUAGAACCAAUUCAGGGCCGCAUCACUGAGGGUGGAAGGGAAGAGGAGGCACAUGCCUUCAUCACUUACACCCAAGGGCAGACUGGAAAGAAUGUAUAUGGGUGAGAGGAUCCUCUGUGCCAGUGUAGAAGGUGAUGCGGAGUAGCUGGAUGUCUUUCUCCUGGUGGUAAUUGAAGAUACGUUCGGUAAAGGGCCCAGGUCGUGGCUUCGCUCAGAGGGGUUGGUGGUUGCGGUGCUACUCACUCUCCACGCGCCGGAUCUUCUCGAAGAGAAGCCUCAAGGUCGGGUCGACAUGAAAGAGAGUCUCGGGUGCCGAAGGCCCUGAGGGGCAGGUGAACAGAAGCUGGG
Molecule: long non-coding RNA, 491 nt
Filed under: Prunus persica (peach)
Lineage: Eukaryota; Viridiplantae; Streptophyta; Magnoliopsida; Rosales; Rosaceae
Description: long non-coding RNA (PPER_LNC004751)
Source: RNAcentral